ACAUCCAGCGAACUUGGCAGAGAUGCCUUGGUGCCUUCGGGAACGCUGAGACAGGUGCUGCAUGGCUGUCGUCAGCUCGUGUUGUGAAAUGUUGGGUUAAGUCCCGCAACGAGCGCAACCCUUAUCCUUUGUUGCCAGCGAUUCGGUCGGGAAACUCAAAGGAGACUGCCGGUGAUAAACCGGAGGAAGGUGGGGAUGACGUCAAGUCAUCAUGGCCCUUACGAGUAGGGCUACACACGUGCUACAAUGGCGCAUACAAAGAGAAGCGACCUCGCGAGAGCAAGCGGACCUCAUAAAGUGCGUCGUAGUCCGGAUCGGAGUCUGCAACUCGACUCCGUGAAGUCGGAAUCGCUAGUAAUCGUGGAUCAGAAUGCCACGGUGAAUACGUUCCCGGGCCUUGUACACACCGCCCGUCACACCAUGGGAGUGGGUUGCAAAAGAAGUAGGUAGCUUAACCUUCGGGAGGGCGCUUACCACUUUGUGAUUCAUGACUGGGGUGAAGUCGUAACAAGGUAGGCGUAGCGAG
RNAcentral lists this ribosomal RNA (526 nucleotides) under uncultured bacterium. RNAcentral's name for it is "bacterial SSU rRNA". It matches the Rfam family "Bacterial small subunit ribosomal RNA", at positions 984 to 1509 of the family's 1533-position model. The record is from RNAcentral.